AAAAAGGCAAACAUUGGGUUUCCGUGUACUUUGACUGUCCAUCUUAUAUGAAAUUUUUUUAUAAUUCGUAUUUUCAUUGUUGUUAGAUUAUAAAACAUGAUUAAUAUUUUAUGCGUGACUUGUCUUUUUAAUUUUUUUCAUAAUUUUUUCAAAUAAGACGGACGGUCAAACGUUGGACACGGAAACCAGGGUUUGUCUUUUU
Non-coding RNA from Oryza glumipatula, 202 nucleotides. The record is from Rfam. Lineage: Eukaryota; Viridiplantae; Streptophyta; Magnoliopsida; Poales; Poaceae.